This 5383-nucleotide long non-coding RNA is filed under the name Homo sapiens (human). RNAcentral's name for it is "HSALNT0265129". Lineage: Eukaryota; Metazoa; Chordata; Mammalia; Primates; Hominidae. The record is from RNAcentral.
GCCACCAAGUGCUUCAGAUCAUCACAUGAAAUGAGAGCGGCACACACCCCGCCACGCGUCUCUUGCCCGGGACUCAGAAACCUCCAUGGACAGGCUGUGACCAAGGGUCAGCUCCCAAGUGGAAAAUGAUUGAGACUCCCAGAAAUCAGCCACAGCCACCGAGCCGCAGGUGUUAAGAGAGAGGCUUUCAGGGCAGCACACAACCGUCUGUGUUGAAGUACCAUUGAAACAAGGGCCGGCACAGCACUGGUGGAACUGGCUUCUUCCCAGUGCUCCUUCUACAAGUUUAAAGGUGAAACCCCAAGUGUGGAUGUCAUCUGGUGGAAAAUCAAUGAAUGGCAGUGACCAACAGUUGUUCUCCAGGACCUGGGUUCUCCUUGUGAGGUUCAUUCUCUCUUCUCUCCUGUUAGGCGCUAUGCUAAGUAGUAGGCAAAAUGUCCGAUGAUCUCCUGUCCCAGAGUUAUACUCCAAAGAAUCCUCCCUCUUCAGUGCGGGCAGGACUUGUGACUUGCUUCUAGCUAACAGAAUGUGGCAACAGUGAUGAAAUGUCACUCCUGUGAUUAUGCAAUGGCAUGUCAUAAAAUACCAUCUUCCCAGAAUGCCUAAGAGUGAGAGAUGCUCUUCUGCUGACCCUGAAGAAGUGCCCAUGGAGAUAGCUACAGGGUAGGGGACUACAGGUCUCCUAGGGAGCUGCAAGUCUGAAUAUAUAAAGGGACAAUGGCCAGAUCAUCUGUAAAAAUAGAACUCUAACCAGCAACCUGCAGCAGCUAGCCCAGGAAACCCACCGAUUAUCUGCAGGAGCCAGCCCAGGAAGCCAGUCUGCUAUUUACAAGUCAAUCUCAUACAGGAAGUCAGACCACCAAAUCUAACAACUGGCCCAAGGAGCCAAACAAUAACUCCUGUUACAAUCAGUCUCACACUGCCAGGACUUGAUAUAACAGACAGCUUCCCUCAUUUUAUUGCUAAUUUCCAAUUAAGGACAAACCAGAGAGAACUAAAUAUGCACUUUCAACCAACCACAUGGGACAACCUUCUUCCCUUAGCCCACCUACAGAUUCCUCAUCACAACAGCCUCUAUCAAGGCACACCUGAAGCCUUCCCUUUCUUCCUGGAUAAGGUUUUCCAACUCCUCUGCCUGGGAGUCAGAAUUAGCAGCAUCUUGGACAGUAGUAACUUCGACAAAAGCCAUUUCAGUCUAGUAUCGGGGACAGACUGGAGCAGGCUGAAGAGCAAAUGGUAGAUGAGGAAGCCAAGACAAAUAACAUAGACAAGAGUAACACAAUCUAAGAAUUAUAGGUGAUCUAGACCAGCAGUGAACAUUUUUGUAAACUGCCGAAUAGUAUAUUUUAGCCUUUGUGAGCCAGAUGAUUUUAUUUUAUUUUACUGAAAUGGAGUCUCACUCUGUCACCCAGGCUGGAGUGCAGUGGCACAAUUUUGGCUCACUGCAACCUCCACCUCCCAGGUUCAAGCGGUUCUCCUGCCUCAGCCUCCUGAGUAGCUGGGACUACAAGUGCACACCACCACACCUGGCUAGUUUUUUGUAUUUUUAGUAGAGAUAGGUUUCGCCAUGUUGGCCAGGCUGGUCUUGAACUCCUGGACUCAAGUGAUCUGCCUGCCUCAGCCUCCCAAAGUGCUGGGAUUACAGGCAUGAGCCACCGCUCCCGGCCCCAGAUGAUUUUUUAAAUGUAGGUUUAAUUAUUAUUAAUGUAUGGUGAAGCCAACAAGCCAUUGAAUGAGAUGAUUGCCAUUGAAAAGAUAGUUUGUUACAGUUCCCAAGAGGAGGGGCACAUCAUGCAAUUGAGGGAGGUCACACUGUGAAGUAUCAGGGUUGGUCAGGAGGCCGAAGAAGUGAAGGGAAAACGUGGGCAGGAGCCUCUGUGUGUGUGUGUGUGGUUUCAUAGGAAUGGGCAAGUUAAGGUAAACAGGCUUAGGACAAGCUGGUUUGAGUAAUUUCAGUGGGCUCUGGGGCACAGUGACUAUCCCUAGUUGUCUGGUGCCUGGCCCUGGGGUGAUUAGGGCAGGUGGAUAGUGGUCCAAGUCUGAGAGCCCAACAAAGGAGGUGGUUGGGUAUGGGUUUCAGAUGGGUUGAUUUGCAUUAGAAAGCAGCAUUCCUGGACAGAGUUGUUUGCUAUCUCUAGGAAUUAGCUAACUCUGAGGGGGCAGUCCCUUCCAGUGUCCGCAGAGCCCCAUAUGUCAAAGCCUCAGAAUAAAAAAAAGAAAAACAUGCUUAAUACAGAUGUUCUCUGUUGCAGCUACUUAACUCUGCUGUUGAAGUAUGAAAGCAGCCAUAGACAAUAUAUAAAUGAAUGGCUAUGGCUGGGCCCCAGUAAAAUUUUAUUGACAAAAACAGGUGGCAGGCCAGGUUUUUCAUGCAGGCUGCAGUUGCUGACCCGUGUGUAGAUGAAGGAAUCAUUACAAUUAGAACCCGUGCAGUAAUCAAAGGCUUCCCUAAAGAAAAUGUUUUAGAGCUGAAAAAGAAACCCUUAGAUAAAUCAAAAAUUUAACUCUGUUGUACACCAAAUCAAUGAAGAAGUAUUCAUACUCCAACACAUACAGGGAAAUAGCUUAAAGUAGGAAAAUGAAGCAAAUUCUUAAAGUAUGCAAAAUUAGUGUCUAUAAUAAUGAGAAAAGACAAUCAGGCUGAACCCAAACUUGUCACUGAGAUUAAACAUUAGAAAGUAAUAAAGCAGUGUUUAUUGAGUUUUGAAGGGAAAUGGUAUCAGUUAUCUAUUGCUGUGUAACAAACUACCCCUAAACUUAGUGGCUUAAAACAACAAUUACUUCUUUUUCAUCAUUAUAUAGGUUGGCUGGGCUCAGCUGGUGGUUCUUCUGCAUCCUGUGUUAUCUGUUGGAGUCACUGACAUGGCUGCAUUCAGCUAGAAACUCAGCUAGGGUUGGAUCAUCCAAGAUGGCUAGAGCCUCAACUAGGGUAAUCAGAUGGCAGAAAGCUGUCUAGGAUUCUCUCUCCCUACUUGGUAUCUUAUCAUGCAGCAGCCUUUCCCAAGAUUAUUUACAUCGUUUUGGAUCCUAUGAUGAGAAAAAUUGGGGUAUCCAAAGCUUUAAAGUCCCAAGGCAAAAAAGUCUCACAGCAUCAUUUUUGCCAUAUUCUCUCAGCCAAAGCAAUUCAGAAAAUGAGACUAGAUUCAAAUAGAGGGGAAAUAAACCAACCUCUUCAUGAGAAAAGUGAUAGAUGUCCAUAUACCAGGAUGGGAAAAACUGUCAGGGGCCAUUUUUGUAGAUAAUCUACCACAGAAAACAAAAUUCCAUACACAUCUGUGUAUAAAGAGAUAAGAAAAACUUUUUCAGAAACACGUAUGCUUAGAAAACUUAUGAUCUUUAUGUUCUUCUUGAAAAAAGUAUUUUGUUAUGUUCUUUCUAUUCUGAUGAAAAGGUAUAUCAUUAAGAAUGGCAAAGACAAGAUAUGAAAGACGGGGGAGUAGAUAUUUAAACAAGUUUAAAUAAAUAAUUAAAUCUAAGUAAUUGUUAUAAAUAGAAUUGAAAUUUGUAGAUACAAAAUAAUUCUUGAAAGACAACUCAUAUAGUCUAAAAAUAAUGAUUCACUAAUCCAAAUAUCUGUUUUAAAGUUUAGAGUGUAUAAACAAAUACUAGAGAAAGAAGAGGGAGGCUGGGCAUAGGCUGUGAGUAGGGAACUGGGAAGCAUGAUAAAUUCCAUGUUGACACAGGCAGAGCCAUGUAUUUUUUAUCCUGGUAGUUAAGGUAGGCAGUUUUUAGGUAAAUUAAAGAUAACCGGUACUCUAUUUUCCACCCCCUAAAACUGCUCCCAUCUCAAUAAAGGGACCCACAUUUCAGCCAGGCACUCAGCAGAAAGCCUAAAUCCAUGUGUGAUCUCUCUUUUCCUCCCCUUUAUGGGACUUCUGCAACGUGCCCUGAAGCCUUAUCCUCUGAAACAUUUGCAGGAAAGGUUUAGUGUAUGUCUUAGUCUGUUUUGUGUUGCUAUAACAGAAUACCUGAGAUUGGGUAAUUUAUAAUGAACAGAAAUUUAUUUCUUACAGCUCUGGAGGCUGAGAAGUCCAAGGUCAAGGGGCUGGGAUCUGGCAAGGGCCUUCUUGCUGCAUCAUCACAUGGCAGAAGGUGGAAGGGCAAAAGAGAACAAGAUGGGGCAAACUCACCCUUUUAUAAAGGCCUCUAUCCCGCCUUGAGCCCUCAUGGCCUAAUUAUCUCUUAAAGGUCCCACCUUUAAUACUGUUGCAGUAGCAAUCAAAUGUCAACAUGAGUUUUGGAGAGGACAAACAUUCAAACCAUAACAAAGUGUAAACACAUACCCACAUGCAUAUAUACAUGCACGGACACAUUUUUUUUAACACCACUAUCUCAUUAUAACUUCUUAUUUUAAACAUUCUCAAAGGAGGCAAUAUAUUUUCAGCUAAUGUAAGCAAAUAUUUGGUACUUUAAGUCACCCUACAAGUUUAAUAAAUUUAUUGAUAGCUAAAUUCAACUAAAGUAUAAUCCAAAUUGUAUUCAAAUGUACUACAGGAGGGAUAUGUAAAAUAGCUUGCCCAGUGGGUCCUACCUUCAAAGCUUACCUUGAAUUCACCCACUCCAUUCCAUCUCUAACCCUCUACCUAAUCAAUCUACCAUCCCUUGCCUGGGGACUGCAAGUCUACCUCUUUGGUAGACUUCUCCUUCUACCAUUCAUUGCCCAUCUCCUCCCUGCUAUCCUUUCUCCCUACAGCCUUCUUUGUGGCUACUUUUAAACAUACAAAGCUGAUUGAGCUGUUCCUUGCUGGAACCCUCCCUGAGGACUCUCCCUAAGCCUCUAGCUGCAGCCCCAGUGGGCUUCUUCAUAUUCCUUGACACCCACCUGAAGGCCUUGUCUUUGGCUGUUCCUUCUGCCUAGACUGGAAUAUUUCUCAGGUACUCAUCUGUCUGCAUCCUUGUUGUCAUCUAUCUCAGCUUAAGCAUAACCUUCUCAGGGAGGUCUUCUCUGAUAGCCCAAAUUAAGUCAGCCCCCAGCCACUCUUCCUCACACUAUUCUGUUUGUUUUAUUCAUGGUAUGCAUCAUGCCCUGCCUAUCUUCAUAUUUAAUUGUUCACGUGUUUAUUGUCUGCCCCCCGUUGGAUGAUAAGUACAUUGAAGGAAAGAUUUGAUCUGUUUCAUCACAUAUCCACAGUACCAAGGACAGUGCCUUGCCACCCCUUAGGUAAUCAAAAGUUCUAUAUUUAAAAAAGAAAUGACUCCAGGCUCAGUGGCUCACACCUGUAAUCUCAGCACUUUGGGAGGCCGAGAUGGGUGGAUCAUGAGGUCAAGAGAUUGAGACUAGCCUGGCCAACAUGGUGAAACCCCGACUCUAUUAAAAAUACAAAAAUUAGCUGGGCAUGGUGGUGCGAACCUGUACUCCCAGCUAUUCGAGAGGCUGAGGCAG